Molecule: unclassified non-coding RNA, 328 nt
Filed under: soil metagenome
Description: partial contains 5.8S ribosomal RNA, internal transcribed spacer 2, and large subunit ribosomal RNA
Rfam family: 5.8S ribosomal RNA (bases 1-119)
Source: RNAcentral
GAUGAAAACGUAGCGAAAUGCGAUAAGUAAUGUGAAUUGCAGAAUUCAGUGAAUCAUCGAAUCUUUGAACGCACAUUGCGCCCCCUGGUAUUCCGGGGGGCAUGCCUGUUCGAGCGUCAUUACAACCCUCAAGCUCUGCUUGGUGUUGGGCCCCGCCGCCCCGGCGGGCCCUAAAAUCAGUGGCGGUGCCGUCCGGCUCCGAGCGUAGUAAUUCUUCUCGCUCUGGAGGUCCGGGUGUGUGCUCGCCAGCAACCCCCAAUUUUUUUCAGGUUGACCUCGGAUCAGGUAGGGAUACCCGCUGAACUUAAGCAUAUCAAUAAGCGGAGGA